RNAcentral lists this ribosomal RNA (468 nucleotides) under uncultured bacterium. RNAcentral describes it as "partial 16S ribosomal RNA". It matches the Rfam family "Bacterial small subunit ribosomal RNA", at positions 28 to 507 of the family's 1533-position model. The record is from RNAcentral.
GAUGAACGCUGGCGGCGUGCUUAACACAUGCAUGUCGAACGGUGAAGGCGGAGCUUGCUCUGCUGGAUCAGUGGCGAACGGGUGAGUAACACGUGAGCAAUCUGCCCCUGACUCUGGGAUAAGCGCUGGAAACGGCGUCUAAUACUGGAUACGAGCUGCGAAGGCAUCUUCAGCAGCUGGAAAGAACUUCGGUCAGGGAUGAGCUCGCGGCCUAUCAGCUUGUUGGUGAGGUAACGGCUCACCAAGGCGUCGACGGGUAGCCGGCCUGAGAGGGUGACCGGCCACACUGGGACUGAGACACGGCCCAGACUCCUACGGGAGGCAGCAGUGGGGAAUAUUGCACAAUGGGCGAAAGCCUGAUGCAGCAACGCCGCGUGAGGGACGACGGCCUUCGGGUUGUAAACCUCUUUUAGCAGGGAAGAAGCGAAAGUGACGGUACCUGCAGAAAAAGCGCCGGCUAACUACGUG